UACAGAGGGUGCGAGCGUUAAUCGGAAUUACUGGGCGUAAAGGGCGCGUAGGUGGUUGAUUAAGUCAGAUGUGAAAUCCCUGGGCUUAACCUAGGAAUGGCAUUUGAAACUGAUUGGCUAGAGUAUGGGAGAGGGAAGUGGAAUUUCCGGUGUAGCGGUGAAAUGCGUAGAUAUCGGAAGGAACACCAGUGGCGAAGGCGACUUCCUGGCCCAUUACUGACACUGAGGCGCGAAAGCGUGGGGAGCGAACAGG
This 253-nucleotide ribosomal RNA is filed under the name uncultured bacterium. Its description in RNAcentral is "partial 16S ribosomal RNA". It matches the Rfam family "Bacterial small subunit ribosomal RNA", at positions 524 to 776 of the family's 1533-position model. The record is from RNAcentral.